Heterocephalus glaber (naked mole-rat) is the source of this 1105-nucleotide long non-coding RNA. Lineage: Eukaryota; Metazoa; Chordata; Mammalia; Rodentia; Bathyergidae. The record is from Ensembl.
AGGGACAUUCUAAAAGUGCCUAUCAUCUUGGCCUUGGGCAUACCAACAUGUGGCCCAGAGCAGGCUGGGGCUGAGAAGAACCUCUCAGGAGUGGCAGUGUCAAAGGGGCUGGGGCUCCGAGUGCUAUGGAUCAAACCCAGGACCUCAGCCAUGCUAAGAAAGUGCAGAACCACUGAGCUACAACCCUAGCAAGAAAGGAUGCUUCUGAAAGACAUUGGAAGUUGUCUUCAUUGGCAGUUGCUUCAGUGGCCAGCAAAGUAUUUGACAGAGCAAACACCUUGAAACUCUGAAGCACAGACUACCUAAUCUGUUUUUUUAAAUUUAGUUUAUAGGGGCUGGGGAUUUAGCUCAGUGGUUUUGCCGACUGCCCUGAAAGUGCAAGGACCCGAGUUCGAUCCCUGGUACCAAAACAAACAAACAAACAAACCCAAAAUUUAGGUUAUAAUUCAUAUACCAUAAAACUUACGUGUGUGUGUGUGUGUGUGUGUGUGUGUGUGUGUGGUACUAGGGUUUGAACUAGAGUCUUAGCACUGAGCUACAGCCCCCAUAUUUUAUUUUAUAUUUUGAGAUAGGAUCUCUCUAAGUUGCCCAGACUGGAUUUGAACUUGUGAUGAUGCUCCUGCCUGAUAUAAAAUUUACCCUUUGGGAAGUGCACAAUUUAAUGGUUUUAUAAUAUUCACAAAGUUGUUCAACUGUUACUGCCAUCUAAUUCCAGAGCAAGCUGCUUCUGAAGCUUGUAGAUGUUAAAUGAGGAGGUCCUUGGGUUUUGAACAUAUUUACAAAACAUAAACACAUAGCACUUCCCCAUUGUGUUCAAAGGCCGAAUAAUUGACAACAGGGAAGACAGAAAUAUACUAGCUGGAUUAAACAAAAGCUGUCACAUAAUUGGUGGCUGGGAUUUAAAAAUGAGAAAGAUGAUUCAGUAAGCUCAGCUAAUGACGGCCCCUCUUCCAUUCAGCACCCAUAUUUUUGCGACAGCACUAAAGCCCAGAAUUGAAAUAAACUGCCCGAGAGCCAGGACUUCAAAUGGAUGUUUUAUGCUGUUCAAUCAAGAUUUUAGCAAAUAAGGAAGCAUAUGCAAUCAUACUAAUAUAUUUCUAGUGGG